GAGUUUGAUCGUGGCUCAGAUUGAACGCUGGCGGCAGGCCUAACACAUGCAAGUCGAGCGGAUGACGGGAGCUUGCUCCUUGAUUCAGCGGCGGACGGGUGAGUAAUGCCUAGGAAUCUGCCUGGUAGUGGGGGACAACGUUUCGAAAGGAACGCUAAUACCGCAUACGUCCUACGGGAGAAAGCAGGGGACCUUCGGGCCUUGCGCUAUCAGAUGAGCCUAGGUCGGAUUAGCUAGUUGGUGGGGUAGUGGCUCACCAAGGCGACGAUCCGUAACUGGUCUGAGAGGAUGAUCAGUCACACUGGAACUGAGACACGGUCCAGACUCCUACGGGAGGCAGCAGUGGGGAAUAUUGGACAAUGGGCGAAAGCCUGAUCCAGCCAUGCCGCGUGUGUGAAGAAGGUCUUCGGAUUGUAAAGCACUUUAAGUUGGGAGGAAGGGCAGUAAGUUAAUACCUUGCUGUUUUGACGUUUACCGACAGAAUAAGCACCGGCUAACUCUGUGACAGCCGCCG
RNAcentral lists this ribosomal RNA (514 nucleotides) under bacterium enrichment culture clone ALO1_GLFRUDD03GY4P5. RNAcentral's name for it is "bacterial SSU rRNA". It matches the Rfam family "Bacterial small subunit ribosomal RNA", at positions 9 to 517 of the family's 1533-position model. The record is from RNAcentral.